GCCAAACAUUUACUGGACUGAUUUAAAUAUUAAAAUCACUCCUUUCUAAUCCUCUGCUGUACGUCAAACCCGAGGCCUUAAAUAGAAACACACAAGUAUCUGAUUGAAGGAACUUCUGCAGAGUCCUGGUUCCAGAACAUGAUGAUAGAAUUAUAGACAAACUUUAACAAAAGCUGCCUUACAGUUUAUAGGUUUUUAUGUUAGAUUUCUUCAGUAAUUUAAUGAGUUAUCAGCAAAAAUCAAGUGUUCAUUUGAUGAACUUCAUUUCCGAAAACAUCCAGAAUCGGAGCUCAUAUCUUUGGCAGCUGCAAAGUUUCUGCUCCUUCAAGGUUCACAACACAAUGAAUUAAUUCCUAAAACACUCUCAAUGCUGGAGAGCGUUUGAUGCUGAAGCAGUGAUCAGUUUUUCUGUUUCUUCUCUGGAAAUGCACAAUGAGGGACGUCUGCAGAGACUGAGAAAGAGUCUCACCACAUCCUGACAUGAGGAAAAAGACUUUAUUGAAGACUAGAAUGAGAAAAACUAUCAGACAGCAGACGGCUGCAUUCAAGUCUGUAGCUGCUGAAUUCAUGGAUGAAUCAUCUGGCACUAGAGAGGAAGACUAUCAAACAUCCACAUCAGCUGAUGGAGGUCCAAGAGUCUCACCAAACAACCUACAGAGUGAAGACCUCAAAUCUGAUUGGACGGCCUCCUAUUCAGCCACGUGUGAACAAAUGCCUCUAAGUUGAUUUGUUUUCUAAAAUAAAUCUAGUUUGAGUCCUAA
Molecule: long non-coding RNA, 761 nt
Organism: Amphiprion ocellaris (clown anemonefish)
Lineage: Eukaryota; Metazoa; Chordata; Actinopteri; Pomacentridae
Exons: 2
Source: RefSeq, a predicted model, not a curated record